UACAGAGGUCCCAAGCGUUGUUCGGAUUCACUGGGCGUAAAGGGUGCGUAGGUGGUGAGGCAAGUCGGAUGUGAAAUCUCCAAGCUCAACUUGGAAAUGGCAUUGGAAACUACCUUGCUGGAGGUUUGGAGGGGGGACUGGAAUACUUGGUGUAGCAGUGAAAUGCGUAGAUAUCAAGUGGAACACCAGUGGCGAAGGCGAGUCCCUGGACAACACCUGACACUGAGGCACGAAAGCUAGGGGAGCAAACAGG
Molecule: ribosomal RNA, 253 nt
Filed under: uncultured bacterium
Lineage: Bacteria
Description: partial 16S ribosomal RNA
Rfam family: Bacterial small subunit ribosomal RNA
Source: RNAcentral